ACUCGCAGAAUAAGCACCGGCUAACUCUGUGCCAGCAGCCGCGGUAAUACAGAGGGUGCGAGCGUUAAUCGGAUUUACUGGGCGUAAAGCGUGCGUAGGCGGCUUUUUAAGUCGGAUGUGAAAUCCCCGAGCUUAACUUGGGAAUUGCAUUCGAUACUGGGAAGCUAGAGUAUGGGAGAGGAUGGUAGAAUUCCAGGUGUAGCGGUGAAAUGCGUAGAGAU
This 221-nucleotide ribosomal RNA is filed under the name Acinetobacter sp. SA-134. RNAcentral's name for it is "partial 16S rRNA". It matches the Rfam family "Bacterial small subunit ribosomal RNA", at positions 477 to 697 of the family's 1533-position model. Lineage: Bacteria; Pseudomonadati; Pseudomonadota; Gammaproteobacteria; Moraxellales; Moraxellaceae. The record is from RNAcentral.